UGAGUAAGCCAGAUAGUCGCAUGUAUAGUGUCGAAAGACCGUACAUGAGGAAAGUCCGGGCUCCAUAGGGCAGGGUGCCGGGUAACUCCCGGUGAAGGCGACUUCAAGGAAAGUGCAACAGAAAUAGACCGCCCUUCUGGAUGUUAGAGAAUGUAGGCUAGAAAUUAGAAAAGGUAUUCCUUUCUAACAUCUAACCUCCAACCUCUAACAUCUAGGAAGGUAAGGAUGGAAAGGUGAGGUAAGAGCUCACCAGCGACAUGGCGACUUGUCGGCUAUGUAAACCCCACCUGGUGCAACACCGUAUAGAGGGAUGUUAAAGCGGCCCGCUAGUCCCGGGUAGGUGGCUUGAGCUCUGUAGAAAUGCAGAGCCUAGAUAGAUGACUAUCAAAUACAGAACCCGGCUUAUAGACUUACUCAGAUA
RNAcentral lists this RNase P RNA (421 nucleotides) under Acetivibrio alkalicellulosi. RNAcentral describes it as "Hungateiclostridium alkalicellulosi Bacterial RNase P class A". It matches the Rfam family "Bacterial RNase P class A". Rfam says of the family: Ribonuclease P (RNase P) is a ubiquitous endoribonuclease, found in archaea, bacteria and eukarya as well as chloroplasts and mitochondria. Its best characterised activity is the generation of mature 5'-ends of tRNAs by cleaving the 5'-leader elements of precursor-tRNAs. The record is from RNAcentral. Lineage: Bacteria; Bacillati; Bacillota; Clostridia; Acetivibrionales; Acetivibrionaceae.